GAUGAAGAACGUAGCGAAAUGCGAUAAGUAAUGUGAAUUGCAGAAUUCAGUGAAUCAUCGAAUCUUUGAACGCACAUUGCGCCCGCCAGUAUUCUGGCGGGCAUGCCUGUUCGAGCGUCAUUACAACCCUCAGGCCCCCGGGCCUGGCGUUGGGGAUCGGCGAGGCGCCCCCCGCGGGCACGCGCCGUCCCCCAAAUACAGUGGCGGUCCCGCCGCAGCUUCCAUUGCGUAGUAGCUAACACCUCGCAACUGGAGAGCGGCGCGGCCAUGCCGUAAAACACCCAACUUCUGAAUGUUGACCUCGAAUCAGGUAGGACUACCCGCUGAACUUAAGCAUAUCAAUAAGCGGAGGA
Molecule: unclassified non-coding RNA, 353 nt
Filed under: soil metagenome
Description: partial contains 5.8S ribosomal RNA, internal transcribed spacer 2, and large subunit ribosomal RNA
Rfam family: 5.8S ribosomal RNA (bases 1-120)
Source: RNAcentral